AGUAGCGGCAGCAGCGGCGCCGCCUCCCGGAGUUCAGACCCAGGAAGCGGCCGGGAGGGCAGGAGCGAAUCGGGCCGCCGCCGCCAUGGAGCUGAGAGUCGGGAACAGGUACCGGCUGGGCCGGAAGAUCGGCAGCGGCUCCUUCGGAGACAUCUAUCUCGGUACGGACAUUGCUGCAGGAGAAGAGGUUGCCAUCAAGCUUGAAUGUGUCAAAACCAAACACCCUCAGCUCCACAUUGAGAGCAAAAUCUACAAGAUGAUGCAGGGAGGAGUGGGCAUCCCCACCAUCAGAUGGUGCGGGGCAGAGGGGGACUACAACGUCAUGGUGAUGGAGCUGCUGGGGCCAAGCCUGGAGGACCUCUUCAACUUCUGCUCCAGGAAAUUCAGCCUCAAAACCGUCCUGCUGCUUGCUGACCAAAUGAGGAAAUGGAAAUGUGCUGAGCCUCAGCCUUGAGGCUCCAGUGGCUCAGCUCACUGGCUUCUGGAGGCUCCGGCGGCUCAGCUCACUGGCUUCUGGAGGCUCCGGCGGCUCAGCUCACUGGCUUCUGGAGGCUCCCGCGGCUCAGCUCACUGGCUUCUGGAGGCU
Molecule: small RNA, 586 nt
Filed under: Pongo abelii (Sumatran orangutan)
Lineage: Eukaryota; Metazoa; Chordata; Mammalia; Primates; Hominidae
Description: processed transcript
Source: RNAcentral